Molecule: ribosomal RNA, 471 nt
Filed under: uncultured bacterium
Lineage: Bacteria
Description: bacterial SSU rRNA
Rfam family: Bacterial small subunit ribosomal RNA
Source: RNAcentral
GAUGAACGUUGGCGGUGUGCCUAAUACAUGCAAGUCGAACGGUGGUUAUUUUGUAGUAAUACGAAGUGAUCAUAGUGGCGAACGGGUGAGUAACGCGUUGGUGAUCUGCCUCGAAGUGUGGAAUAACGUUACCGAAAGGAACGCUAAUACCGCAUGUGCUCUCGAUUUUUAGAAAGUUGAGAGUAAAGGAUUUAUUCGCUUCGAGAGGAGCCUGCGUCCCAUCAGCUAGUUGGUAGGGUAAUAGCCUACCAAGGCUUUGACGGGUAGGGGACCUGAGAGGGUGGCCCCCCACAAUGGAACUGAAACACGGUCCAUACACCUACGGGUGGCAGCAGUAGGGAAUAUUAGAAAUGGACGAAAGUCUGAUCUAGCGACACCGCGUGUGCGAUGAAGGCCUUCGGGUUGUAAAGCACUUUUUUGGAAGGAAUAGGAAGGAAGGUACUUCCAGAAUAAGUCUCGGCUAACUACGUG